UUUUCUUUAUUUUUUAUUUUUAUUUUUUGCUUUUUUAGGCCUGUACCCAUAUGCCUAAAGUUCCCAGGCUAGGGGUCCAGUCGGAGCAACAGCAGCCAGCCUAUACCACAGCCACAGUCACACCAGAUCCGAGCCAUGUCUGCGAGCUACAUCACAGCUCACAGCAAUGUUGGAUCCUUAACCCACUGAGCAAGGCUAGGGGUGGAACCCGCAUCCUCAUAGAUACCAGUCGGAUUCAUUUCCACUAAGCCAUGACAGGAUCGCCCAUCAUCAGUGCUGUUUUGAAUGUUUAGCAUAAUGCCUAGCUAGCACUUAGUAAGCACUUAAAUUUAUUUUUGAAUGAUUGAGAAUGACUGAAUUGAUAAGUAAAUGAAACGUAGCAUCACAUACAUUAAAUAUUUUAAUGGUCAGUGAAGUGGUUAUGAGUAUAUCAAUACCUUUGUUGUCCUCAGCAGACUGUCAAGCAGUUCUUCAGCAUGUAGAAGUUAUGGUAAGUGCAUAGUGAAAAAAAUACUUUGCUGUCCAGUUUACUCAAGUAACAAAUGCAUUGAGUGCUUCCCACGUGUAUCAUUUCUUGUGGCAGCUAUUGUGGGGACAAAGAUGAAUAGGCAGAGCAGUUUCUCUCUAGGAGCUUCUAGUUUUAGAGGAAUCAGCUAUAUGCAUGCUUUGUACAUAGAAAGCUAUACAAAGUAGAGUUGCAAUUAAAAGGUGGGAGCAUGACAGAGAAAUUUUGAUUAAAGAAUGUCUGAGAUGGUUUCUUAGAGGAAAGUGGAACUGAACUAAUAAGCCUUGAAGAUCAUGAGGAGCAGAUGGUUGUCUACUAUGGGGUGGAGAAAAGCAGAGCUGCAGAAUUCCCUAAAUUGCAGUCCCAAGUUAAUAGAAGUAUACUAGAUUUUCUUCUAUUCUCUUAUGAAUUUCCAGCAACAGCUUGAUUUUAACCUCUGUGGAAACACAAAUGAGGGCUGUGAUGGAUACAAUAAUGACUAAAGUUAAAUUAUAACUCCAAGUCAAAAUUUUAAUCACAUUCAGUCAAUGAAUAGGAAAUAAGAUAGAGUAUGCAAAAGGCUUUAUAACUUUUUAAUUCUAAGGUAUUAGAAAUAUAAAAUUUUAUUAUUAUUCAUAAUGUGUAAGGUUUCUAUGGUAUGAAAUGAAAUUUAGGGGAUAAGAGGAUUAGGGACAGAACAGGAUACCUCACAUAUGUCUUGUAACUUAUAGUUUACAAAGUAUCUUCCUGAAUUAUUAUCUUGUUAUAUUUUCACAACAACCCUUAAGGUUGUAGAACUGGUAUUAUUACUUCCAUUUUACAGUUGAAGAAAAUGAAGUUCUGAGUUAAAUGACUUAGCCAAGGUUACACAGUAAGUGUCAGAGCCAGGUUUUCCCAACAGGUUGUCCAGUUUUUUUCUUGUACCUCGUUAUUACCCAGAAACAAUGUAUGGGAAACAUAUAGUUAGACACAGCAUACAUCCUGGUUCUAAUUUUUUCCAAAGGUUUUCCUUUUUUUUUUUUUUUUUUUGUCUUUUUAUCUUUUUAGGGCCCCACCUAUUGCACAUGGAGGUUCCCAGGCUAGGGGUCCAAUAGGAGCCGUAGCUGCCGGCUUAUGCCACAGCCACAGCAAUGCCAGAUCUGAGCCACAUCUGCAACCUAUAAUAUAGCCCACAGCAAUGCUGGAUCCUCAACCCAUGAGCAAGGCCAGGGACCAAACCCGCAACCCCAUGGUUCCCAGGCGAACUCUCUUCUGUGCCAUGACAGGAACUCCCCCAACAGUUUUCUGUUGAUAAGAGUUUUGUAUCCACAUUUCUUCCAUUUUGGCAUGGGUAAAAUAUACAAGACUAAAACCAAGGGAGGCAUGCAUAGACAAGAACUGAUUAUUUUGGUAACUGAUAGGGAUAGGUAAAUCAUAAUAGGUCUAUGGAUUGAAAGAAUUUUAAUUUAUUUUCUUGACUUUUGAGUUAAAGAAAAGAUUUCAAUGUGAUGGUGCAAAAUAUGCUGCAUAGAACUCAUCUUGGAGGUAACCAAAGGGCUGUGGGACUAACAGCUUUUGAUAUUACUUAGUGCUUAUUAUUGUUAUUAUUAUUAUUUCUUUUUAAUUAUGCAAAGUGCUAAUCAGUUUGAUUAUGCACAGUGCUAAUCAGGUUAAUUAUGCAAAGUGCUAAUCAGUUCUUCUUGAAGCACACGAGGAGAGCAGAGGUGCUGGCGGAGAAUGGCGUAAGCUAGAUGGGGGUAGUCACGGCAGUCAUUCCUUAUUAAGAUAGGAGUAUACAAGAUAGCAAGGGGAAUUUAUCCAUAAAAAUAAAGAGGAAAGGAAAGAUAACUAUGAGCACAGGAAAGAUUGUGGUUUGGGCAGGGUGGUGCUUACGCAUAGAAAGCUGUUUUUUCCCCCUGUUGCAUAGUUUGGUUAGAUAGUCUCUGCUAUAUUUUGAAGGCACUCAUUUGAAGCCAAAAAGACUGCAGAGGGAAAGAAACAGAGUAUUGUAUAGCUAGACAAGUUGUCAAAACAACUUAUUGUAGUUGGCAAGCACCAAUUCCUGGGAGGACAGUAGAGGAAGUAGAAUCUAAUAGACCUAUACAUGAAAGAGGACAUCAAUAAAGAGAAUUGAAAAAUUAAGGGAGUGCCAUUCUGAUAAAAUAAACAGGGCCAUCUCACCACUGUAUUGUUAUUGGGAUGGCUGUCUGUGUAGCAUAUAUCCUGAGGUGAACUGAGGGUUUCUUGGUGCUGGCAGUGGUCUCAACUGAGAAUGGUGAUGACGAAUAUGACAAUAAGGGUUUUAUGUAAUAGCUCCUAGUUGGAUCAGCUUUGUUGCUGCUGAAAUCAAAGUGAAUUUUAAUAUUAACUUGCAGGUCUGUGCUUAUUAAGCUGGGUGACUUCCUGUGAAGAUGAGUUUAUAGCAAUAUGUUCAUAUGUUUUUAUAGAACAAUGACCAUGGAGCUCCCCUAGGAAAGCCCUUUUAUUCAGUCCUCCUGUUCUAUUCUGUAGUUUGAUAAGCUAUCAAUGAAAUGCUGUGAUACCUACUUGUUUGAAUGUAUUCAAAGAGCAGAAAGCGUUUCAGGAUUACUAAGUGAAUAGUCAGUUUAAAAAAAUGUUUUUAGUCCACAUAACUUUUCUUUUAGUCUGGAAUUUGAGCUGGAGAUUUAUUAAAUCAUUUAUAUAAGGAGGGCCUGCUUUCUGCUUUAUAACCUGACAAUCAGGGUGUUUAUUUAUCUUCCUUUUUAAGCCUAUGACUAAGCACAACUCAUCUUCACAAAUGCAUGUAGUGAGUUUGAUUUCUAGAAAUGUCCAAAUAAUGGUAAUAAUGCUGCAGAGGCCAAGUCAUUGGUGAUAACUUCAGAAAGGAGCAUAUUAGUGAGGUGUUUGUCCAUAUAGCAUUGGUACUUGGAAUAAGGACAAGCUUUCAGUUUUCAUUUUUUCUUUAACCAAGACCAAUUACAUUUUAAAAUAUGAAGAGAAUGACAUAAAUCUUUGGUUUCCAAGGAGAGUUUGGAAAGGAAUAGAUUGUUAGAGGACAGCGCCCACAAAUUGAGAAAGCCUGUUGGGGGCCCUUCAAGAAUUUGGCUAGAAAAUUCUGUUAUAAGCAAUCUGUCUGCUCAGCUUCAUGGGAACAGUGUUUUAUAAAUGAAACAUUGCUUCUGUACCCCCCGCCCCAUGUAAGGUAAGGUUGGAAUAUUCAUAUUACCAUUUUAUCAAAGUCUUUUGAAUUAUUUCUUGAUAAGCUUAAAAAAAUUCUUAGUGAUUCUACUCAAAGGAUACCUUGCAAAUUUCUUUUGCUGAUAGAUACGAAACUCUUGAUUCCUGAUAAAAGCAUUUGAACCCAAAGACCUUACUAUGUAAGUUUGAAUCCUGGCUCUUUCAAUUAUUAGCUGAGGAAGUCAAAACUGCUUUGAGCAUCUGUUUCUUCAGAAUUCCUACCUCACAGGGUGACUAUAAGUAUUAGGUGAAAUAAACUGUUUAAGUCACUGAACUCAAAUCCCAGUGGCACACUGAAGCAUAGCUUUGCUCCAUAGUCAAUCUCUUUUUCAUUUCUUGCAACUGUAGUCUUUUGGCUUGGC
RNAcentral lists this long non-coding RNA (4044 nucleotides) under Sus scrofa (pig). RNAcentral describes it as "lncRNA (ENSSSCG00025077744.1)". The record is from RNAcentral. Lineage: Eukaryota; Metazoa; Chordata; Mammalia; Artiodactyla; Suidae.